UAUGUAGAGAGUACAUAAUUAAAUUUUUCUUAGAUAAUGACAUCCCCUAAUAGCCGAUAGAGUGUAAAGAAAAACUUGUUUUCUCUACUCACAAAACCUCUGACAUCGAAUGUUAAGGGCUCAGCCCUACAAGUUUGCUCUUCGCUUCAGAGGUCAUUCCUAAGUGCAGAUGGUUGCCUGGUUGCCUGUAUGACUGACCAGCUGGCUAAGUCAUAGAUUCCUACGACCUCCUCCUCAGAUUUUCUCGGACAACUCGAGAAAAUCUUGACUUACAUUUCCGUUUGUUAUUAAGGAUAUUAUAAAGAAGACAGAUGAACAGCCAUGUAGAGAUACCUAGCUCGAUAUCCAAGAGUUUGCACGCAUCACCUUCCCGACACAUGGCUGCUUUCAUCAGGCUGGAGGUUUACAGACCCUGUUGCUCAGUUUUUAUUGAAGCUUUAUUUCCUACAUAGGUAUGAUUGACCAAACCAUUGGCUCUUGGUGAUUAAGUCAAUUCUCAGUCCUCCUCCCCUUCUAGGAGAUUGAGAGGUAGGGCUCAAAGCACCAUCCCUCUAAUUACAUGGUGAGCGCCUCUGAAAACCAGCCCCCAGUCUCCAAGAGUCACCCUAUUAGCAUAACCUCAGGUGUGGUUGAAAGGGGCUUAUUGUGAAUAAUAAAACGUGCUCCUCUCCACCUUUGCUCUCAGAAAAUUAUAAGGGUUUUAGACGCUCUGUGCCAGGAAGCAGGGACAAGAACAACUAUACAUCUCUUUUAUAUCACAACAUCACGAAUUGUGAAAUAAACAUUUAGUCGCAGUAAUUAUAAAAGGUACAAUGAAAACAUAUGCCGGAGACCACUUCAAGUAAAGACAGUUGGUAUACUUAAUUACUGAUACAUGAAUAAAACAGCUCAGUAUAAAUAACAAAUAAUACUAGUGAGGCAGGAGAUAGAUGGGCUCCAGGCUAGACAUUUACAGCUAGCCUCCUGUUCAUACUUUUUAAGGCAGGAGACAGGUAGGCUCCAUGAUGAAAUUUACACCCAGCCACCUGUUUAUACUUUGAGAGAGAAAUAACAACAGCAAUGAGGUAAAUAAUGAACUUUGCCUUCUGUGGACAGUUUAAACAAGGGUAAUGGCAGGGGCAGAGAGGAGCUAAUCCCUGCUUGGGCAGAAGAUCAAGAGGUCACAUACUUCCCAUCCUUUGGGUCAGGGAGACCCCAACUACACAGGAACAGAAAGACUCCUCAGGGUCAGUAAGGGAGGGGGCACCGGGAGGGGGCAUAAUAAGUCCUCCUAUUAUCCCUUUGCUCUGGACUCCAUCUUGGCCAAAGUUUGCACACGCGUACUGGGGAGGGCCUGGGUCUGGUCAGGUGUGAGAAAGAAAAGAUAAUUGGCCGAAGGAAAACAAAGACCCAGCAGCACCGCACCUAUAUAAAUGAUUUAAAGCACCCCUUGGCACUCUUCCCACUAGCAGGGGCAUCCACACUCCUCUGUGUGUGCUGUUUUGCUUCUAACUGCUUCCCUGUGUGCUCUCCUACAUGUGCUGUGCCUCUGAUAAUAAACCUCAUACCUGUUUUUUUACAGUUUUGCCUCCUUGAAACAUUUUUGCUUUCCACAGGGGCAAGAAUCAGGGCAACUCUGCCCUGGUUUGCCCAGGUUCAAUUCCUGAGCGGGGAAUUAAGAUCUUGAUUCAAGCCAUCACUCACUGCUGUUUCUCUGAGACCACUAGGAGCAGGAACAAUCUUCAAGUAGUCCCUCUUUUUUAAUGAUCUGAUUGGGGACUGUUCAAUCACUGGACAUAUGGCAAGAAGUAUGCUUCACAUCUAUUUGAAAUACCCCAGAGCUCUGUAUUGUUUGGGGAACAAAACUCACUAUGACAAAAUGUCUCUUUGGCUUGAUGCUUAUUUGGGGGUGGCUGUUUUUAGGAAACAAGAGUCUCCUCCCCUUAAAUGUCUAAAGGAAUUUAUAUAAAAGGCCUGUUCUAGGACAAACUCUCAUCAUAGAUUACUGAAGCACCUGAACUAGGUGUGGUAGACUAGGGAAAACUCAGCAAAGUCGGCUUAAGCAACGUGCUAUCCCACUGUCUCUACAUGGCCCAGAAAACAUUUAUUUGCCAAACAUUUGCUUUUUUUCAUUGCCAACUAAAAAUACUGUCACUCACGAGCCACUGCAGUCACUCACCUUCAACACACCCUGAAAGGGGUUCAGGGAGGAUACCAAGAGUGAGGUACCCUGUGCUCCUGGAGAAACUGUCAGAACAGCCUUCAAAUAGUUAGAUCUUUUUAGGCAAAGAUUUAUGAGUCCAAUGUCUUGCAUCUUUUCCUGUCUAGAAAAGCACUAAAAUCAUUAAGGGAGAUAUUUGCUCCUUGUGACUAGCAGCAAACUUCUUGUGACUAGCAGCAAACUUCUUGUGACUAGCAACAAACUUCUGCCAAGAUGUGUGCUUGACUGCAAGUAUAGCCCCUUCACUAAAAUCACAUAUAUAUAAUGUAGAAAGUAACAUAAUGUCUUUUCUAUCAAAGGAAAUCUUGGUUACUCCAUUGGUCUCUGUUUCAGCCAAACUGCCCCUGCAACCCCCUCCUCUUUCGCUCUUCUCCCAGUAACAAUUUGUUUCAAAUUAGCCAACAGAGAAGAAUGUGCGCCCUCACCUGACCCAUGGGAAGGGGACAGGUCCAUCCCCUGCAUUAGGGAUAAAUAGGGAGGGUCUUUUCUUCUUUGCGCGCGCUUUUUGAGCACCCGUGCCCUUCUGCAGAAGGAAAGAGCCUUGUCGAGAUCUCCCCAUGUUCAUGUGUCUCAUUUUUCGACACUGACAAUCUGAGCCAUGUCCCCAACAACAGACCUCCGCUUCUACCUCUUAGGAGCACUUCCUCAGAACUAUCUGAGGCUGCCUCCUGGGCUACUGUCCCCAUUUUGCCCCAGAUAAAACUUAACUCAGAACUUUCACAUUGAGAGGUUUUUUCAACCAACAUCAUCUUUCUAUAAAUUGCCUCCCUUUCCAAACCCCCUACCUGCUUCUCCUUCUCUCAGAUGGUAUAUAAGCUUCGACUGCCAGACUCAUCCCUGAGUUCAUAUUCUUAUAGAGCCCCCACACAACAUAAUUAAAUUUGAUUUUUCUCCUGUUAACCUGUCUCAUGUCAAUUGAAUUCUGGGACCAGCCAGAAGAUCCUAGAAGAGCAGAGGGGUUUUUUCCUCCCCCACAGCAAGCACUUUGAAAAUGGGAUGGACAGUAAAAUAAAAGAGAGGAAGCACUAGAGCAAUAGAAUACUUUUCCCAAGACCAUGGAAAGGCUUUGGUGCUUCUCACGAAGUACACCUACAAUACAGAAAAAAGGUAAUGGGGAGAGUUACUCAAAGGUAAGGAGGAGACACCAAGGCUAUGACAACGCUUGCCAAAGUCACCAAUUCACUCCUUGAACUAAAACCUAGCCAGCAAGGGAAAGAACAGUGAGCAGGAAGACCCCAGGGAUUGACAUGCAAAUAAGCACUCUAGGCAACUCACACUGAAUUCUGCACUGGGAGGAAUGCUUAGGGUGCUCAUUUGCAUGUUGGUUACCAGAGGUUUCUUUCAAUUCACAGCCAUUUUAAAACACUCCCUGUCAGAGCCUGGGAACAACUAAAGGGACUGAACAAAGGUGAACUAGCAAAGAGUUCUCUGCCAUAACCCACAGGAGACAAUGUGCCUUCUCUUGGGCACCAAAAUAUUCUUUUUACAUGUUUAUCACACGAACAGCGCAGAGCCUACGACUACUGUGCGUAUUUCUUGUUAAAGAAAAGAUCUCUGACCAGGUUGACCUGGUUUCUGCCUUAAUCUCUAGAUUCUGAUGUUAUGGAACCUCCAACGGAGUUCCUCUUCUCAGCGAGAGUAAUAUCUCACUCUUCUGUUCCUGUAUCUGCUUCCUGUUUAUAAAGGGUGCACUUGGAGGAAGGCAAUGAAUGUUUCUUUCUUUAAUCUACAGCAAUAUUUACUGCUUCGGGGGAGUUCAGGUCUUGUCCUUUGGCAAGCUCACAGCUCUCAACUGAAACAGGCAAAGCAAAUGCAUUUUCUCUCCUUCAUGUGAAAAAGGCUGUGGUUAACAGGACUCUGUUGCUGACAAGUGUAGCCAUUUUAAUUGUUUUAAAACAGAUAAACAAAUAAAAAUCAACAAAAAAAGAUAAUCUUAAAGUCAGGAGUCCACUCUAGAAAUUGCUUUCUUACAGUGUCUGUGCAAUCAGUACAAUUCGGCUUCAAUCGUCGUUGUUUUUUAGGUGCCUAUGAAGUACUAGCUGUGAUUCAGAGUGUCUAUCUCUGUCCUUGAGUCACCAACAUUUACCAGAAAAAAGAUACAAAGCAGUCUCUACAAUAAUGUACAUCCAACUCUUUCUAAAUCUCGUAAGUGGAUAUAAUAUUCUCCUUAAGGAUAGAGUACCAGGAGGGCUGUAGGUUGUAUGAUGGUGAAUAGAGAUCCGAUUCAGGAUAAUGUGCUUAUAAAUAGGAUGGAACAGAGGCAAUGAUAAUACCUCUUUUCUUUGGACUAAGAGAAUUCUUUAUAAUGAUGGCCAGAUGUUGGCAAUGAAUACAAAUAUACUAGGAGAGCCCCCGAUUGUUUCUGUCUCUUGUAUGUGUACAAGGCUAGUUCUUCCAAAAUGUGGUUGUGAGUGUGGAAUAAUUAUUUUAGAUAUGCUGGUGUGGUGUAUGUCGUCAGUCUCAGUCACAAAGCUCAUUUCAACCUGGAUCUAUUACCAACUAUACUCAUAGACGCCUCUGCAGUUAAUUCCAGCCACUUUUCCUAGUGACGCUCAAAAGGCAACAACGGUGUGGCCUCUCAACUGCACCAUCAAGGACUGUGCAGAGAAAAAUACAUAAAAGUGGUUCAGUAGAUCAGAUGGUGAUGAUUUUUUGUGCACAAUAAACUGCAAAUAGUACCCUCCCGAGGGAAUGCUUCCCUGUGUAUCUAUUGCUUUUAAUCUCACCUAACUUCUUUUAGUAUACUAGCUCUGCAUCAUACAGGAGCAAUGCAAACAUUUUUUUUUAGCAUGCAAACAGCAGUAAAUCACAUCUUUCACUUCUGUAGCUCAAUGCAAAUAUUUAACAUUUAUCUCAUGUUUCUUAUUAUCUAAGCACCUUACAUUACACUAGAGAAAGAUUUUAAUUUUACUCAUUAAUGAGAAUCAAGAUACAAAGAAAAAAAUAACUUUGACUGUGCAUAAGGUCUUGACUCAGUUGAAGUCUAAAUUCAGAAUUUCUAAAGCACAUUCUUCUCAUAAAUGUAGGUGUAGCCUGUAGAACUCUCGGCCAGGGAAAGCCAUAGAAUGAGUACAGCCUACAUAGUGGAAAAUGUGUACCUUGUAAAUGUCUUAUCAUUAUCUUUUCCCAGAAAUUAUUUGCUUCUAUAUUCUUCACAAAAUGGCCUGAAUAGAAUAACUAAUGGCAUAAUUACUUCAGAUCUUUGAAAUAGUUGAAGAGAAUCUGAUGAAUGGAUUAAAAAUUCUGUCCUUUUCAUGAGUAUAUUACUGUAAUUUGGUUAUAUGUGGAGUUUUUGUUGAGCACUAUUAAUCAUUCUUAAAUGCUAAGACAGAAAAUUUAGAUAGUUUUUUAAAGCUAUCCCUUAAUGUUUGCCAGGCCAUAAAAACUACUAAAAUAUCAGACUUUAAAACAAAAUUGACAGUAAUUAGAAUAAGUAUGUAUUUAGAUUAAAAAAAACAACCAAAUUUCCAUAAAGCUAGUAUUUUAAAAUACUUUACUAAAUAUCCACAUACUGAGUUAUUUGAAAUUAUAUGUCUUGCAGAGUUCCCAUUGUAGUGCGAUGGAAACAAAUCCAACUAGUAUCCAUGAGGGUGUGGGUUCAAUCCCUGGCCUCGGUCAGUGGGUUAAGGAUCUGGUGUUGCUGUGAGCUGUGAUGUAGGUCACAGAUAUGGCUGGGAUCCUGAGUUGCUCUGGCUGUGGUGUAGGCUGGUGCUAUAGCUCCCAUUCAACCCCUAGCCUGGAAACUUCCAUAUGCCUCGGGUGAGGCCCUAAAAAAAAAGAAAAAGAAAUUAUAUGUCUUGGAGGCCAGUUGUUUAUCUAAGAUAAAAUCCUAUUCUAAGAUGCUAACCAUUUAAUUUUAGUAUCAAAUCAAAUCCUUUUUUAAGGCCAAGUCCUGUCCAAAGCCACUGUGAUUUCAAACUCGAGAGAGAAAUCAAUCCCAAUCAAAACCUGCACUGUUCUACAAAAUCUUAUCUUGUAGAAAAUACAUAUUAAGUUUUAUAGGUUGAUCAGAAAGUGAUGUGUUUAUGGAAGACCUGGUAUAAAUACUGCAACAAAAAGAAACAAAAAGAUGGGGUUUACUAUCACAUAUCGUAUAAGUGGCUUUUUAUUUUCUGAUUCAAAAAUUUAGACACGUUUAAGUUCAACUUUGACUAAAACAACAUAAUGAUCUUCUCUGCUUUUAUUUUG
RNAcentral lists this long non-coding RNA (6388 nucleotides) under Sus scrofa (pig). RNAcentral's name for it is "lncRNA (ENSSSCG00060036301.1)". The record is from RNAcentral. Lineage: Eukaryota; Metazoa; Chordata; Mammalia; Artiodactyla; Suidae.